Cercocebus atys (sooty mangabey) is the source of this 1675-nucleotide long non-coding RNA. RefSeq lists it as uncharacterized. NCBI's taxonomy places the organism in Eukaryota, Metazoa, Chordata, Mammalia, Primates, Cercopithecidae. The transcript has 4 exons. The record is from RefSeq and is a predicted model, not a curated record.
CUCCUGCUGCCGCAGCUCCAGCCGCUGCCGCUCGAUCAGCUCGGGCUCCGACUCCAGCGCGUCGAAGACCGCGGCGCCCACCAGCAGGUACUGACUGAUGGCUUCUGGGUCAUAGAAGCGGGGCUCCCUGAAGCUUCUCUGAAAAUUCACGGCCCCCACGCUCUGGGCCCCAGGGCGCAUCUUCAUGGGGCAGGGGAGACAACUGGAGUGAAACAAAAAGGCUGGAAAAUGCUUUGGAUCCCAACCAGCCAGAGGAUGCGCCAGUGGAAAAUUCCUGCUGUGUGUCAGAGGCCCACCUGGCCCGGGGGACAGCCAGCCAAACGCACAGGCCCCAGAGCGUGUUUAGACAGCGCUUUCCUGCCUCGGCCAGAGCUCACCCUGGCCCUCACCAACGCUCAUCCUGGGAAAGUAGGGUGGGCCAGGUCCUCACCUAGGCUCAGGAAAGCUUCUGCAACUCCGUAUCUGGAGCAGGGUCUUCGGGACAGCGGCGUGAACUUUGAUAGAAAAGAUGGGCAGUAGGAGCCCCAGGUCUGCCCUGAACCCGUCUCUGGGACCCAGGAGUAACCGUGUCCUCUCCAUGGACCUCAGGCUCCUCAUCUAUGCAACACAUGGGGUGGACAAGGACAUCUAAGGAGCCUUCACCAGCCCCACCCUUCUGCUGGUGCAGAUCCACAGUCUCUAAGGGAUCCCACAUCUGCCUCUGGAGAGGCCAAGGCUCCUUUCCUGGGCAGAACCAGGGGGGCAACUCUCAGAAGCUGCCGUCAGAGACUUAAGCUCAGCCUCCGAGGAAGGUGGCCCAGCGGCUGUCUGUAACUGGGACACAUGCCUUUGAGAGCGUUCGCAGCACCCACCAAGGCUCGCCGGUGCGGGGGUGAUGUAUCUGGGAGGAGAAAAAGAUAACCCUGAGGUCAAACCCACCCUUUGCAAAGCGCCUGCUGCCCAGGUUCUGCCCAGAAGCCAGUGCAGGAAAGUAAUUUGGGCAAGAAUGACUUUUCUUCAUCCUGUAGAUGAGGACAAUGACACAGAGGUGCUAAGCGGGGCCCAAGUCUGAACCCGGAUCUUUGUACUCUUCACCUUAGACUCUGUCCACGACCCUCAGCUGCCCUCUCACAGGCCAGGCAAUUUACAAUCUCAGAAAUAAGAGGAUCCCAGUGCCAGGAAGAAUGUUACAGAUCCCCUGUCAGUAACACAAGCCCCUCAUGUGACCGACAAGGAAACUGCUGCCCGGAGAAGGGAAUGGACAAGCCCAAGGUCACUCAGUCAGUUAUGGUCAAGCUGGACUUUGGAUCCCAGAUCUCUGGAUUCCUCAUCUGCAUAUCUCUCACUGGAUCAAACUGCCUUUAGACCCGUGCACUGGGGUGGGACUGUCCUAUCCGCAGGGCAUGGCUGCUGCCCAGUGGGAGGGGAUAGGAUGGUUACUGGGGCAACCUCCACUUGUCCACCCUGAGGAGAGAGGAUAUAAAAAUAAUGCUACCUGCUCUUCCAGUUCAUCAAGUUAUAUGAAACUGUCUUGGGCAUGCUAAAGCAUUUGUAAAUGUAAGUCACUGACAUUUUGUCAAACAGCAAACCCUGAAGAGCCAGAUCUUCCUGCAACAGAGGAACAGGGGCAACAGAGCACCGGGAUUCAUGGGCCAGGACUGAAUCCAGUUCCACAAUCCCCAUGGCCCUGCUCAUC